GCGGGUGUGGUUCAAUGGUAGAACCUCAGCCUNNCAGCCUUCCAAGCUGAUGACGCGGGUUCGAUUCCCGUCACCCGCUCCA
RNAcentral lists this transfer RNA (82 nucleotides) under Olsenella sp. RNAcentral describes it as "tRNA-Gly". It matches the Rfam family "tRNA". Rfam says of the family: Transfer RNA (tRNA) molecules are approximately 80 nucleotides in length. Their secondary structure includes four short double-helical elements and three loops (D, anti-codon, and T loops). Lineage: Bacteria; Bacillati; Actinomycetota; Coriobacteriia; Coriobacteriales; Atopobiaceae. The record is from RNAcentral.